This is a long non-coding RNA of Hydra vulgaris (swiftwater hydra), 453 nucleotides long. RefSeq lists it as uncharacterized. NCBI's taxonomy places the organism in Eukaryota, Metazoa, Cnidaria, Hydrozoa, Anthoathecata, Hydridae. The record is from RefSeq and is a predicted model, not a curated record.
AAUUGGAAGGUGAUGUUUGUUACAUUGCUGUUACCCUCAUUAUUUGGGGAGAAAGAAGAGUUGUUUUUUCCCUUACCAAAGCAGCAAAUACCACUUAGUCCAGUCAUAUUGUCACAAGACGACGAGUGGAAUAUAUCAGUCGACAAAGAAGUUUUCUUUCCUAAAACUAUUUGCACUUUUUCCGCGGCUUUUCAAGCAUGGUUUGCAGCAUUUUGAAUAUUCAGCAUUGAAUUCCCAAAAGGAUUGUCCAAUACAUGUCAAUUUUUAGAAAAAGUGCUUCUUGGUGGGAAAGGAAAAGUGCCAAAUCUUGUCAGCAAACGGGGCAACCGUCUUUUGCACUAAAAUUUAUGACUUUUGUUUUUUGUCUGUUUUUGUUGUAAAUCUUUAUAAUUUAUUUAUGUUUUUUUGUCACUAAAUUCGAAAAAACUUCUGAAUAUUUGCAAUAUUUCUAAA